UGGGGAAUAUUGCGCAAUGGCCGCAAGGCUGACGCAGCGACGCCGCGUGGGGGAUGAAGCAUUUCGGUGUGUAAACCCCUGUUGCUCGGGACGAACAAGCCUUUUCGAGGGCUCUGACGGUACCGAGUGAGGAAGCACCGGCUAACUCCGUGCCAGCAGCCGCGGUAAUACGGAGGGUGCGAGCGUUGUCCGGAAUCACUGGGCGUAAAGGGCGCGUAGGUGGUCUGCUAAGCGUGCGGUGAAAGCCUGGGGCUCAACCCCAGGUCUGCCGUGCGAACUGGUGGACUUGAGCACUGUAGAGGCAGGUGGAAUUCCGGGUGUAGCGGUGGAAUGCGUAGAGAUCCGGAAGAACACCGGUGGCGAAGGCGGCCUGCUGGGCAGUAGC
Molecule: ribosomal RNA, 385 nt
Filed under: uncultured bacterium
Lineage: Bacteria
Description: bacterial SSU rRNA
Rfam family: Bacterial small subunit ribosomal RNA
Source: RNAcentral